CUCCCUUCCCCCAGCAGCCCGGCCCGGCGGCGGGCACUGCGGGCUCUGAGGGAGCUGCAGGCGAGGACUCUGCCCCUGGCCGGCCUUCUCCUCGCCCAUUUACAUUCCUAGCCGGGUGCCUCCAUUCCUAGGUCGCUAUCUGCGACCUCAGGCAGGGCUCUUCUCCAGGCGCCUCUGUGAGGCCUCUUUAGGUGGGGAUGAGGGGGGACCACCAAGAUACUGCCCCCCUGACUCAGGGCCCAGUGCUCCUCCACUCCCCGCUGUCCUCCUCCACACCCACCCCUCCUCCUCCCUGUGGGGUCCCCUCAACACGUGCUCUGCUCCACCUGACCCUCCACAGGUGCGCCACUCAUGGGGGAAGAUGGAACGGGGCGUCGGUGCCUUCUCGCUUCUGUCACCGCAGACUUCCUAUAAAUGUGGUCAUACUCUACGCUUCCUUUGUGUAAGGCUCCUUUCACUCAGGGCAAUGUUUCUGAGGUUCACCUUUACUGUGGGCAGCGGCAGCUCGUUCCUUCCCGUUGCACGCAUCAGAGAGUGGAACUCUGUGUCAUCGGGUAGGCAUCGUUUAGUUCUCCAAGAAACUCCCAGACCUUUUCCCAAAACGGUUGUCCCAUUUCACGUUCCCACCAACAACGUCUGAGAUUUCCAGCUCCACAUCCUCAGAAAUCUUUAAUGCUGUCAGGGGAGAACGUGAACACAGAGCAGUCCCCUCCUAGGACACGUGGGGAAAUCACAGGGGUGAGCAUUGGAUGAGCCUUGUCCUGGGGAAACCACCUUUGUGAUCACGGCAUCUCAUCUGCCAGUCUGCCAGGAAAGCCGCUGUCUCAAGAAUAUCAAGGAGGGCAGGCUUCCCAGACCUCAACUCCUCACUCCCGGCGCACGAACCUGCCUCAAACAGGAAGACGAGACAAGAGACAACGAUGAAGGACGCCCACCUGCCAUCCUCCUAUCCCCCCACCCCCCACCCCCGCC
RNAcentral lists this long non-coding RNA (972 nucleotides) under Equus caballus (horse). RNAcentral's name for it is "lncRNA (ENSECAG00000060079.1)". Lineage: Eukaryota; Metazoa; Chordata; Mammalia; Perissodactyla; Equidae. The record is from RNAcentral.